UACGUAGGGUGCGAGCGUUAAUCGGAAUUACUGGGCGUAAAGCGAGUGUAGGCGGUGUGGUAAGUCGGAUGUGAAAGCCCCGGGCUCAACCCGGGAAGUGCACUCGAUACUGCCACGCUAGAGUAUCGGAGAGGUUGGUGGAAUUCUCGGUGUAGAGGUGAAAUUCGUAGAUAUCGAGAGGAACACCGGUGGCGAAGGCGGCCAACUGGACGAAUACUGACGCUGAGACUCGAAAGCGUGGGGAGCAAACAGG
This 253-nucleotide ribosomal RNA is filed under the name uncultured bacterium. Its description in RNAcentral is "partial 16S ribosomal RNA". It matches the Rfam family "Bacterial small subunit ribosomal RNA", at positions 524 to 776 of the family's 1533-position model. The record is from RNAcentral.